This 406-nucleotide ribosomal RNA is filed under the name uncultured bacterium. RNAcentral describes it as "partial 16S ribosomal RNA". It matches the Rfam family "Bacterial small subunit ribosomal RNA", at positions 30 to 526 of the family's 1533-position model. The record is from RNAcentral.
AUUGAACGCUGGCGGCAGGCCUAACACAUGCAAGUCGAACGAGUGGCGGACGGGUGAGUAAUGUCUGGGAAACUGCCUGAUGGAGGGGGAUAACUACUGGAAACGGUAGCUAAUACCGCAUACCAUCGGAUGUGCCCAGAUGGGAUUAGCUUGUUGGUGGGGUAACGGCUAACCAAUGCGACGAUCCCUAGCUGGUUUGAGAGGAUGACCGUCCACACUGGAACUGAGACACGGUCCAGAGUCCUCCGGGAGGCAGCAGUGGGGAAUAUUGCACAAUGGGCGCAAGCCUUAUGCAGCCAUGCCGCGGGUAUUAAGAAGGCCUUCGGGUUGUAAAGUACUUUCAGCGGGGAGGCGUUACCCGCAGAAGAAGCACCGGCUAACUCCGUGCCAGCAGCCGCGGUAAUUC